CACGCUGUAAACGAUGGAUACUAGGUGUGGGAGGUAUCGACCCCUUCCGUGCCGCAGUUAACGCAAUAAGUAUCCCGCCUGGGGAGUACGGCCGCAAGGUUGAAACUCAAAGGAAUUGAC
Molecule: ribosomal RNA, 120 nt
Filed under: uncultured bacterium
Lineage: Bacteria
Description: partial 16S ribosomal RNA
Rfam family: Bacterial small subunit ribosomal RNA
Source: RNAcentral